This 252-nucleotide ribosomal RNA is filed under the name uncultured bacterium. RNAcentral describes it as "partial 16S ribosomal RNA". It matches the Rfam family "Bacterial small subunit ribosomal RNA", at positions 524 to 775 of the family's 1533-position model. The record is from RNAcentral.
UACGAAGGGGGCUAGCGUUGCUCGGAAUCACUGGGCGUAAAGGGUGCGUAGGCGGGUCUUUAAGUCAGGGGUGAAAUCCUGGAGCUCAACUCCAGAACUGCCUUUGAUACUGAAGAUCUUGAGUUCGGGAGAGGUGAGUGGAACUGCGAGUGUAGAGGUGAAAUUCGUAGAUAUUCGCAAGAACACCGGUGGCGAAGGCGGCGACCUGGUCCGAUACUGACGCUGAGGCGCGAAAGCGUGGGGAGCAACAGG